UGGAAACAGAUGCUAAUACCGCAKAGAUCCAAGAACCGCAKGGUUCUWGGCUGAAAGAUGGCGUAWGCUAUCRCUUUUGGAUGGACCCGCGGCGUAWUAGCUAGUUGGUGAGGUAACGGCUCACCAAGGCRAUGAUACGUAGCCUAACUGAGAGGUUGAUCGGMCACAUUGGGACUGAGACACGGCCCAAACUCCUACGGGAGGCAGCAGUAGGGAAUCUUCCACAAUGGACGCAAGUCUGAUGGAGCAACGCCGCGUGAGUGAAGAAGGCUUUCGGGUYGUAAAACUCUGUUGUUGGAGAAGAAUGGUCGGCAGAGUAACUGUUGUCGGCGUGACGGUAUCCAACCAGAAAGCCACGGCUAACUACGUGCCAGCAGCCGCGGUAAUACGUAGGUGGCAAGCGUUAUCCGGAUUUAUUGGGCGUAAAGCGAGCGCAGGCGGUUUUUUAAGUCUGAUGUGAAAGCCCUCGGCUUAACCGAGGAAGCGCAUCGGAAACUGGGAAACUUGAGUGCAGAAGAGGACAGUGGAACUCCAUGUGUAGCGGUGAAAUGCGUAGAURUAUGGAAGAACACCAGUGGCGAAGGCGGCUGUCUGGUCUGUAACUGACGCUGAGGCUCGAAAGCAUGGGUAGCGAACAGGAUUAGAUACCCUGGUAGUCCAUGCCGUAAACGAUGAAUGCUAGGUGUUGGAGGGUUUCCGCCCUUCAGUGCCGCAGCUAACGCAUUAAGCAUUCCGCCUGGAGAGUACGACCGCAAGGUUGAAACUCAGAGGAAUUGACGGGCGCCCGCACAAGCGGUGGAGCAUGUGGUUUAAUUCGAAGCAACGCGAAGAACCUUACCAGGUCUUGACAUCUUUUGAUCACCUGAGAGAUCAGGUUUCCCCU
Molecule: ribosomal RNA, 883 nt
Filed under: Lacticaseibacillus paracasei
Lineage: Bacteria; Bacillati; Bacillota; Bacilli; Lactobacillales; Lactobacillaceae
Description: bacterial SSU rRNA
Rfam family: Bacterial small subunit ribosomal RNA
Source: RNAcentral